This 165-nucleotide microRNA precursor is filed under the name Oryza brachyantha (malo sina). RNAcentral describes it as "MIR812 microRNA precursor family". It matches the Rfam family "MIR812 microRNA precursor family", at positions 27 to 187 of the family's 205-position model. The record is from Rfam by way of RNAcentral. Lineage: Eukaryota; Viridiplantae; Streptophyta; Magnoliopsida; Poales; Poaceae.
UACAAUGUUUUGACCUUUUGUCUUAUUUGAAAUUUUUUUGCGAUUAAUAUUUUUAUUCUUACUAUAAGAUAAAACAUGAAUAGUACUUUAUGCGUGACUAAUUUUUUUAAGUUUUUUUUAUAAAUUUUUCAAAUAAGACAAAUGAUCAAACGCUAGACACAGAAA